UACGUAGGGGGCAAGCGUUGUCCGGAAUCAUUGGGCGUAAAGCGCGCGUAGGUGGCCCGGUAAGUCCGCUCUGAAAGUCAAAGGCUCAACCUUUGAAAGCGGGUGGAUACUGUCGGGCUAGAGUCCGGAAGAGGCGAGUGGAAUUCCUGGUGUAGCGGUGGAAUGCGCAGAUAUCAGGAGGAACACCAACGGCGAAGGCAGCUCGCUGGAACGGUACUGACACUAAGGCGCGAAAGCGUGGGGAGCGAACAGG
RNAcentral lists this ribosomal RNA (253 nucleotides) under uncultured bacterium. RNAcentral's name for it is "partial 16S ribosomal RNA". It matches the Rfam family "Bacterial small subunit ribosomal RNA", at positions 524 to 776 of the family's 1533-position model. The record is from RNAcentral.